RNAcentral lists this ribosomal RNA (253 nucleotides) under uncultured bacterium. RNAcentral describes it as "partial 16S ribosomal RNA". It matches the Rfam family "Bacterial small subunit ribosomal RNA", at positions 524 to 776 of the family's 1533-position model. The record is from RNAcentral.
UACGAAGGUUGCGAGCGUUGUUCGGAAUCACUGGGCUUAAAGCGCAUGUAGGCGGCCUUUCAAGUGCCUUGUGAAAUCCCACGGCUCAACCGUGGAAUUGCUUGGCAUACUGUCGGGCUUGAGGCAGGUAGAGGCGCGUGGAACUCUUGGUGGAGCGGUGGAAUGCGUAGAUAUCAAGAGGAACGCCGGUGGCGAAAGCGGCGCGCUGGGCCUGUCCUGACGCUGAGAUGCGAAAGCCAGGGGAGCAAACGGG